This 520-nucleotide ribosomal RNA is filed under the name uncultured Acaulospora. RNAcentral's name for it is "SSU rRNA". It matches the Rfam family "Eukaryotic small subunit ribosomal RNA", at positions 569 to 1088 of the family's 1831-position model. The record is from RNAcentral. Lineage: Eukaryota; Fungi; Glomeromycota; Glomeromycetes; Diversisporales; Acaulosporaceae.
AGCAGCCGCGGUAAUUCCAGCUCCAAUAGCGUAUAUUAAAGUUGUUGCAGUUAAAAAGCUCGUAGUUGAAUUUCGGGAUUUGUCAGUUGGUCGGGCUUCACUGUCCGUAUUGACUUGAUGGAUUCUUACCUUCUGAAUAACCAGCAUGCUAUUAAGUUAGUGCGUUGGGGAAGCAGAUCUAUUACCUUGAAAAAAUUAGAGUGCUUAAAGCGAGCUAGUGCUUGAAUAGAUUAGCAUGGAAUAAUAAAAUAGGACGGCAUGGUUCUAUUUUGUUGGUUUCUAGGAUCACCGUAAUGAUUAAUAGGGAUAGUUGGGGGCAUUAGUAUUCAAUUGUCAGAGGUGGAAUUCUUGGAUUUAUUGAAGACUAACUUCUGCGAAAGCAUUUGCCAAGGAUGUUUUCAUUAAUCAAGAACGAAAGUUAGGGGAUCGAAGACGAUCAGAUACCGUCGUAGUCUUAACCAUAAACUAUGCCGACUAGGAAUCGGACGAUGUUAAUUUUAUAAUGACUCGUUCGGCACCU